AGUGAACGCUGGCGGUAGGCCUAACACAUGCAAGUCGAACGGCAGCACAGUAAGAGCUUGCUCUUACGGGUGGCGAGUGGCGGACGGGUGAGGAAUACAUCGGAAUCUACUUUUUCGUGGGGGAUAACGUAGGGAAACUUACGCUAAUACCGCAUACGACCUACGGGUGAAAGCAGGGGAUCUUCGGACCUUGCGCGAUUGAAUGAGCCGAUGUCGGAUUAGCUAGUUGGCGGGGUAAAGGCCCACCAAGGCGACGAUCCGUAGCUGGUCUGAGAGGAUGAUCAGCCACACUGGAACUGAGACACGGUCCAGACUCCUACGGGAGGCAGCAGUGGGGAAUAUUGGACAAUGGGCGCAAGCCUGAUCCAGCCAUACCGCGUGAGUGAAGAAGGCCUUCGGGUUGUAAAGCCCUUUUAUUAGGAAAGAAAAGCAGCAUAUUAAUACCCCGCUGUUCUGACGGUACCCAAACAAUAAGCACCGGCUAACUUCGUG
RNAcentral lists this ribosomal RNA (492 nucleotides) under uncultured bacterium. RNAcentral's name for it is "partial 16S ribosomal RNA". It matches the Rfam family "Bacterial small subunit ribosomal RNA", at positions 29 to 507 of the family's 1533-position model. The record is from RNAcentral.